UAUCGAACAGUUAGAAAGGGGAAGAUCGAAGGAGUGGAUGGAUGAUGCUUGGGACAGUUGCUGGCGGAUUUGCAUCUGCAUCUGCAUGUGCACGUUCUGUCAUUCUACUUUUUCUGUCGGCCCUUUUCGAUUUCAAUUCACACCUGUGCACCCAUCGUAGGUCUUCGAAAGAAGAUCUAUGUCUUUUAUAACACUGCUUUGUAUGGCCAUAGAAUGUAAAAAUCUAUUACAACUUUCAGCAAUGGAUCUCUUGGUUCUCGCAUCGAUGAAGAACGCAGCGAAUUGCGAUAAGUAAUGUGAAUUGCAGAUUCCAGUGAAUCAUCGAAUCUUUGAACGCAUCUUGCGCUCCUUGGUAUUCCGAGGAGCAUGCCUGUUUGAGUGUCAUUUGAUUAUCAACCUUCAUUCUUUAGGGAACGAAGGCUUGGAAGUGGGGGUUGCUGGCGGCUAGGGUCGUCAGCUCUCCUUAAAAGCAUUAGCGAUCGAGUUGGGCUAUCAAGUCUUUCGACAUGCACGGCCUUUGACGUGAUAAUGAUCGUCAUGGCUGGAGUGUCUUUCCUGGACUGUGCUACAUAGAUUGCUUCUAACAGACAGAGAUCUUUGAUCUUUCACUCAAGCUUAGCUACUAGGCAGUCUUUUUCUGUUGAAGAAGAGGCUGGCGAAAACAAGCAGAGAGGGAAUGGGAUGGGAUCGAUCCUUGAUCAGCUUAGUUACUAGGCAGUCUUGACUGGCGAACACAAGCGAGAGAGAGGAACGAUAAUAAUGACUUG
RNAcentral lists this unclassified non-coding RNA (767 nucleotides) under Phylloporus bellus. Its description in RNAcentral is "sequence contains ITS1, 5.8S rRNA gene, ITS2". The stretch from base 231 to 384 matches the Rfam family "5.8S ribosomal RNA". The record is from RNAcentral. Lineage: Eukaryota; Fungi; Basidiomycota; Agaricomycetes; Boletales; Boletaceae.